AGAUAUGAGGGUGAGCUGGCUGAUUCAUCUGUCACCCCAAUGGUCACCAGGGUGGAUUCUGCUGGUCUGACUGGCUAAGCGGGUGUCCCCUUCUACCCUUCACCACUCCAUGGAUGUCCCUCCCAAACCAGCAUGUUUUGCUGUAAGAGGAUGAACUGCCCCAAAGGUUGAGGGUACACAUGUAGCUGGGCUCCUCUGCUCUGCUUGCACUUCCAAACAGACUCUCAAGGAGAAAAUCAAUAAAAAACAGUCCACCAGGAGUGGUGAACUUAUGCAAACAUGAAUCUCAAUAGAACACAGUUUCUUUUUUAUUAUUAUUC
This is an unclassified non-coding RNA of Erinaceus europaeus (western European hedgehog), 320 nucleotides long. Its record names the gene 7SK. It matches the Rfam family "7SK RNA". Rfam says of the family: 7SK was discovered as an abundant small nuclear RNA in the mid-70s but a possible function has only recently been suggested. Two independent studies have found that 7SK RNA binds the CDK9/cyclin T complex (known as elongation factor P-TEFb). Lineage: Eukaryota; Metazoa; Chordata; Mammalia; Eulipotyphla; Erinaceidae. The record is from Ensembl.